This 339-nucleotide long non-coding RNA is filed under the name Equus caballus (horse). Its description in RNAcentral is "lncRNA (ENSECAG00000058147.1)". The record is from RNAcentral. Lineage: Eukaryota; Metazoa; Chordata; Mammalia; Perissodactyla; Equidae.
GCCUCAGUGUCACCCGAGUUCCAGGAUGGCAGAAGCCAAGGACUCUGCCAUACCAUCUUUUUUGGCUUCCAGUUUCUCUGCUGCCAAGAAACGUGAAUUGGAGAUUGUAAAAUGAAGAUGUGCUGAUGUGCCACUCCCAACAAUGACAGUGGACCUGCCGUCUUGCUCCCAGCUCCCCGUCUAUACUUCCAUCUUCUCUGUUGGAAGGUACAGGAACCAUCGAUUUGCUCAGCUAUUUGUUAAAAAUGAAAGAAUGACUUUAUUCCGGGAGCUGGGAAGGGAAAGCUGUGCUGUACUCGCUUCUGGUAGAAAUGCUAGAUGAGGAAGCAAGAAAUGGAG